UAUUCACAAAGCUUUCUUACAUGUAUCAACUCUUGCUCCAUUAGAUUACUGCUUGCUGUGUAAACAUUUGUUUUUCCUCAUCUAGCUAGUGGUUGUGUUAAGCUUUAUAUGAUCGUGGUUUUAGGUAGUAAUGAAAGUCCAAUUUUCUUUUCCUGAAUUCUCCGGACUUCCGUAAUAAUUCUCUAGAAAAUGAGAUUCGAUGAGAUAGUAAUGGUACAAGAUCUUGGUCGAUGAGCUUCCAAUCACUUGCUUAUGUGCCUAGACGACCUAUAGUAUAAGUGACGGUCAUGAAGGAAAUAACAUCCAAAUAUGCAGGCAACAAGAAACCCUUUUAGUACAUGCUUAAGAAACUCUUUCUUGUAAUAUGUUGAAUAAUGUGAUGAAUGCCAUUUGUAUUGUUCCUCAUCAGUUACUAGUUACUCAAACGUACGUAGACAUAUUUUAAGUUAAAGUCACACCCUAUGAUCUUUUACUUUUAAGGCAAAACUUUAUUUGAAAACAACUUUAUCUGUCAGGAUGUCAAAUUCCCAGAAACAUCCGUUCUGCAAUGUAUUCCCAGCAUUCGUUCGGUUAAUUUUGCUGAUAUUGGGCCACGAAGGUACAUGGAGGAUGAGCACAUAAGAAUAGAUGAUCUAUCUGCACACUUCUGUUCACUCUUUAGUUCUCCCAAGCCAAGUGCAUUCUAUGGGGUAAGUGAUUUUCUCGUCCUAUAGUUGUUUUAGUCCUAUAUUACAGUGGUCCGAUCAUUUUCUCAUUGGUUCCUUUUUGCAUCUUACGGGUGUUUGAUGACCAUGGAGGGCCUGAGGCAGCAACCUAUGUUAGAAAAAAUGCAAUCAGAUUCUUUUUUGAAGAUGCUAAUUUCCCAGAAACUUCUGAAGUUGAUGAUGCUUUUCGAUUAGAUGUUGAAAAUUGUCUAAAGAAAGGAUUUCUUCUGGCGGACAUGGCCUUGGCUGAUGACAGUAGUGUGAACACUUCUUCUAGAACAACCGCUUUGACAGUUCUUGUACUUGGAAGACCGUUCAUUUCUCUUCUAUCUCAAUAUAACACAUGUUGAGAGGUUAUAUGAAGUUGAGAGAGGUUGACAGAAGUUAAGGAUUUGAAUACAAGUUCAAAUUAUUCCUUCCUAUCCAUAUUUAGUAUCUUUAGGGUCGGGAGAGCCCACAUGGGCAACCCAUGACCUGUUUUCCAACAGCUUGAAACUAGCCAAAAUUUCAUCAAAUUGUUCUACCAGAGAAUGAUGAAUUCCUCAUAACGGGGAGCGAUGGGAUAUGGGACGUGAAAUCUAGUCAACAAGCAGUUAGCCUCGUGAGUCGUGGACUGAGACGGCAUGACGACCCUGAGCAAUGUGCCAAGGACAUUGUGAUGAAGGCCAUGCGGCGCAACACUUUUGACAAUCUCAUAGUCAUCAUAGUUUGUUUCACUUCCCUCGAUCAUGCAGAACCAUCACCAUCACCAGCACGCCAACGAAAUCUAAGGUGUUGUGGCCUGUCGGCUGAGGAGGAUUCUCCUCUACGGGAACGGUAACCACUGACUUUGUAGUUGACUUUUUAUUGGAGAUGCCCACUACUUUGAGAAGGCAGGAAGGCUGUUAUCUAUACAUAAGAAUUGGUUGGCCGGUGGUGAAUUGACUGUAGUAUUCCAUUUUGAGACAACUGGAAUUGUUGUAGCCAAUUGUCAAGUUUGAAGGCUCUUGCUUUCAUAUUCACUCACUAUUGAUUUGUGUAUAUAUUGACUAAAAUGUUUGGUAAAUAUAUUCUUGCUAUAUCA
Long non-coding RNA from Olea europaea var. sylvestris, 1767 nucleotides. RefSeq lists it as uncharacterized. NCBI's taxonomy places the organism in Eukaryota, Viridiplantae, Streptophyta, Magnoliopsida, Lamiales, Oleaceae. The record is from RefSeq and is a predicted model, not a curated record. The transcript is spliced from 3 exons.